UAGAGUAAUGCGUGACCAACCUGCCCCAUGCUCCAGAAUAGCUCUUGGAAACGGGUGGUAAUGCUGGAUGCUCCAACUUGACGCAUGUCUUGUUGGGAAAGUGUUUAGUGGCAUGGGAUGGGGUCGCGUCCUAUCAGCUUGUAGGCGGGGUAAUGGCCCACCUAGGCUUCGACGGGUAGCCGGCCUGAGAGGGCGGACGGCCACAUUGGGACUGAGAUACGGCCCAGACUCCUACGGGAGGCAGCAGCC
Molecule: ribosomal RNA, 249 nt
Filed under: uncultured Gardnerella sp.
Lineage: Bacteria; Bacillati; Actinomycetota; Actinomycetes; Bifidobacteriales; Bifidobacteriaceae
Description: partial 16S ribosomal RNA
Rfam family: Bacterial small subunit ribosomal RNA
Source: RNAcentral